This 1602-nucleotide long non-coding RNA is filed under the name Homo sapiens (human). RNAcentral's name for it is "HSALNT0345598". The record is from RNAcentral. Lineage: Eukaryota; Metazoa; Chordata; Mammalia; Primates; Hominidae.
CAGUCUGGUCAUCUUAAACUCCUGGGCUCAAGCCAUCACCUCAUCUCAGCCUCCUGACAUCCUCCUGGGACAUACAGCGAUGGCCCCCACACCUGGAAGGACUCAAGCUCUGAAUCCAGCACCUUCAGGAAGCAAGUGAUGGCAUCCCAGAGGCCCUAUGCUUGAGACAGACUGACGAAAACAGGUGGAUCUAGGUAAAAUCAGUCUCUGCUACCCUCCUCAUCUAAACCCUCAGUGCAGGGCCACCUUGGAAGCCAUGUGUUAACACUGAGUGAUCCUCCUCAGCCAAGUCCCUAAUGCAUGGAAAAGAACCUCCUGACCCAGUCCCCAAAGGCUGGACUUUUCCUUUGCAAGAAAUAAGGAGGGUAAAGUUCACCAUAAAUAACAAAGUCAUGGAGUCAAGCUGUCACAAUUGGCCACCGUUCCUAAGGCAUUUGAAUUGUAUGCAUUGACAGGAAAAAGCAGGAAGGAGUGAAGACAGAACAAGGGGAGAAUGUAACCUGAGUUGGAAGGUGUAAUAUUUAAAUGUAUUUGCAAACCUGUUUUGGGCCAAAAGGGGUAGGAGGAAGAGAAGACGCAUUUGCUGAGAUCUAUUAUAUGCCAAUUGGAGGACUACAGAUUUCACAAUUCACAUCUGUUGUCUUAUUUCUUUCUCAUAAUCCCAAAGAUAAUUCUAAAGUUACACAUUAUCAUCUCCAUUUACAAUUAAGAACUGAUGCUCCAAGAAGAAAGAUCUCACAGUGUGUAGGCAACAGACCUAAGAUUCAAACCUAUAUUGGUGGGUGUUAAUGUCCUUGUUCUUUCUGAUGUAAGCAUGUAACAUUUCCACAUCUCUGAUUCCAUGCUCAAGGUGGGCCAAGCCAUGCUGCUUGUAAGACAGGGUGCCUGUGAUGACACAAGUCAUUAAUGCAAGUGUUAAGUGCCAUGCAAGCACAGAAGCCACUUAAAAUGGGUUUUCGGAAAUGAAAGCUGGGCUCAAACAGAGCCCACUUUCAAGGGGGCCUGGUUUAAGUGGCCAAACUCUCAAGAAGAAAGGCAUUAAAGGAAGAGCCUUUCUGCUGGGCUGGCAAAACUUUAGGUUCAUGAAUUCAGGAGGAGACUGAGGAGGAGAAAACAGGGUUUUAGAAUGCAGCCUCAGGAGCUGCCUGCACCUCUCAGGCCAGGAGGUUGGCUUUUCCAAUUGUGCGAUUAAGCUAUUCUACCCAGCCCCACCUCUCAUUUUCAAUUAAUCUGCACUAAUGAAUUCAACAACCAAAAUGCAUUUGCUAAUUGAGGUGCUUGCUGGCCAGGUCAUCCGCGCUCCCUUGUCUAACAGCUGGUACUCCCCACUGUGCCACGGUAAAGUAGGGUAGUAGAGGCCUCUGCUCCCCUCAUCCCCUGCUGCCCCUGAGGGGAAUACCCAGUGGGCAAGAAAAGGCCCAGCCUGGGAGAGAAUGCUCAUAAUAUAUUACUAAGUCACAGACAGAAAUUGCUCCUCCGGGCAGUCUUUCACUUUUUGUUUCUAAGUGAAAGCUCAUGACCAUCCCAGCCAUAUUAUCUCCCUGGCCCUUGGAAGCUGUUAUGUAAUGGAAAGGGCAUUAAACUCAGGCCAGGAAAUUCUUG